Molecule: transfer RNA, 75 nt
Filed under: Candidatus Doudnabacteria bacterium RIFCSPHIGHO2_01_FULL_50_67
Lineage: Bacteria; Candidatus Doudnaibacteriota
Also listed under: 5 other names
Description: tRNA-Glu
Rfam family: tRNA
About the family: Transfer RNA (tRNA) molecules are approximately 80 nucleotides in length. Their secondary structure includes four short double-helical elements and three loops (D, anti-codon, and T loops). Further hydrogen bonds mediate the characteristic L-shaped molecular structure. tRNAs have two regions of fundamental functional importance: the anti-codon, which is responsible for specific mRNA codon recognition, and the 3' end, to which the tRNAs corresponding amino acid is attached (by aminoacyl-tRNA synthetases). tRNAs cope with the degeneracy of the genetic code in two manners: having more than one tRNA (with a specific anti-codon) for a particular amino acid; and 'wobble' base-pairing, i.e. permitting non-standard base-pairing at the 3rd anti-codon position.
Source: RNAcentral
GGCCCUAUCGUCUAACGGUUAGGACAGCGGGUUUUCAGUCCGCUAAUCCGGGUUCGAUUCCCGGUGGGGUCACCA